RNAcentral lists this ribosomal RNA (253 nucleotides) under uncultured bacterium. RNAcentral describes it as "partial 16S ribosomal RNA". It matches the Rfam family "Bacterial small subunit ribosomal RNA", at positions 524 to 776 of the family's 1533-position model. The record is from RNAcentral.
UACGUAGGUGGCAAGCGUUGUCCGGAUUUACUGGGCGUAAAGAGCGCGCAGGCGGUCGUUCAAGUCGAGUGUGAAAGCCCCCGGCUCAACUGGGGAGGGUCAUUCGAUACUGAUCGACUGGAAGGCAGGAGAGGGAAGCGGAAUUCCCGGUGUAGUGGUGAAAUGCGUAGAUAUCGGGAGGAACACCAGUGGCGAAGGCGGCUUCCUGGCCUGUUCUUGACGCUGAGGCGCGAAAGCUAGGGGAGCAAACGGG